This 1254-nucleotide ribosomal RNA is filed under the name Triticum aestivum (bread wheat). Its description in RNAcentral is "partial small subunit ribosomal RNA". The record is from RNAcentral. Lineage: Eukaryota; Viridiplantae; Streptophyta; Magnoliopsida; Poales; Poaceae.
GAGCUUACAAAAAAGCUCUUGGAAUGGAACAGUGAUCUCACUACACAAAGGGAUGAAAACGGGAGUACGCCUCUCCAUUUUGCUGCAGCUCUGGCACAGCAAAGUCAGCGAGGAAGUAUAUGUUGGCAAGUAUUGGAAGCUAACUCAGCUGCAUUGUAUCAGUCAGAUUGCAACGGAUUAUUUCCAAUACACGUUGCUGCCUCUGUUGGUGAAAGUGGGACUAUAACUAUGUUUCUUAACAAGUCUCCAAGCAGUGCCGGUUUGCAGGACAGUAUGGGAAGGACAUUCCUUCAUGUAGCUGCUGAGAAAAGGAAAGUUCGAAUAGUCAGUUCUGCUUGCAGAAACCGAUCACUCUUAUGGAUUCUAAAUAUCCAAGACAAUGAUGGGAACACUGCACUACACCUAGCUAUCCAGGCACGGAGUCUUCGAAUGUUUUGUGCUUUGUUAGGGAAUUGACACACACAUUUGAAUUUAUCAAAUAAUAUUGGGCAAACUCCUCUAGAUAUAUCACUAUAUGGGAUUCCCCCAGGAAUUUUUGAUGAUCAGAUCAGUGAAGCGAAGAUACACUUUGCACUGACAGUUGUUAAUGCUAGGAGUGGUGGCAGUCGUCGUGAUCACUUUGAAGAAAACUACACUCGUCAGUUAAAAUAUGAUGAAACGGAACAAUUAGAAAAGGCGAAAGAACCAACACAAACACUAUGUAUUGGUGUGGCUCUAGUUGCAACUGCGACGUUUACUGUUACUUUUGCCCUUCCUGGAGGUUACAAAGCUGAUGAACAUAUUAAUGGAGGCACACCAACACUUGCCGGGAGGUAUGCAUUUGAUGCAUUCAUAAUAGCCAGCACAUUCUCCUUCGUCUUGUCUGUGAUGGCUAUGGUAGGUCUCAUGUAUUCUGGAUACUCUAUUUUAAACCCACAGACUCGUAGAAUUUACUUAAUCGCGGCCUUGUAUCUUGGGUCAACAUCGGGCACAUGCUUCUUAACAACUUUUGCACUAGGUUUGUACAUGGUGCUAGCACGAGUUGCUCACAAGUCGGCCAUUGCUAUCUGCGUCAUUAGCCCUCUUGCUGUUAUAUGCAAACAAAUGGACCUUUGGUUAAAGUGGGCUCUUCUGGCACAACCAUUAUGUACUCGAAUUGGGCUAACUCGUACACUGGUAAUUGUGACAACGAGAAUCCUUUUCAGCCUGUUGAUGGAAUUUUGGCCCAUAAUAUUCAUUUUUGUUUGGGCCACAUAUACAAGCAACUAGUUUUAG